CGAAAGCCUGACGGAGCAAUACCGCGUGAGGGAGGAAGUCUCUUGGGUUGUAAACCUCUUUUCUCAGGGAAUAAGUUCUGAAGGUACUUGAGGAAUAAGCAUCGGCUAACUCCGUGCCAGCAGCCGCGGUAAUACGGAGGAUGCAAGCGUUAUCCGGAAUGAUUGGGCGUAAAGGGUCCGCAGGUGGCAGUGAAAGUCUGCUGUCAAAGAAUGAGGCUUAACCUCAUCAAGGCAGUGGAAACUACACAGCUAGAGUACGGUCGGGGUAGAAGGAAUUCCUGGUGUAGCGGUGAAAUGCGUAGAGAUCAGGAAGAACACCGGUGGCGAAAGCGUUCUGCUAGGCCUGUACUGACACUGAGGGACGAAAGCUAGGGGAGCG
RNAcentral lists this ribosomal RNA (379 nucleotides) under uncultured Calochaete sp. RNAcentral describes it as "bacterial SSU rRNA". It matches the Rfam family "Bacterial small subunit ribosomal RNA", at positions 376 to 770 of the family's 1533-position model. Lineage: Bacteria; Bacillati; Cyanobacteriota; Cyanophyceae; Nostocales; Fortieaceae. The record is from RNAcentral.